RNAcentral lists this ribosomal RNA (1263 nucleotides) under Microbacterium arborescens. RNAcentral's name for it is "bacterial SSU rRNA". It matches the Rfam family "Bacterial small subunit ribosomal RNA", at positions 57 to 1337 of the family's 1533-position model. The record is from RNAcentral. Lineage: Bacteria; Bacillati; Actinomycetota; Actinomycetes; Micrococcales; Microbacteriaceae.
GCAGUCGACGGUGAGCAGAGCUUGCUCUGUGGAUCAGUGGCGAACGGGUGAGUAACACGUGAGCAAUCUGCCCCUGACUCUGGGAUAAGCGCUGGAAACGGCGUCUAAUACCGGAUACGAGCUGCGACCGCAUGGUCAGUAGCUGGAAAGAAUUUCGGUCAGGGAUGAGCUCGCGGCCUAUCAGCUUGUUGGUGAGGUAAUGGCUCACCAAGGCGUCGACGGGUAGCCGGCCUGAGAGGGUGACCGGCCACACUGGGACUGAGACACGGCCCAGACUCCUACGGGAGGCAGCAGUGGGGAAUAUUGCACAAUGGGCGAAAGCCUGAUGCAGCAACGCCGCGUGAGGGAUGACGGCCUUCGGGUUGUAAACCUCUUUUAGCAGGGAAGAAGCGAAAGUGACGGUACCUGCAGAAAAAGCGCCGGCUAACUACGUGCCAGCAGCCGCGGUAAUACGUAGGGCGCAAGCGUUAUCCGGAAUUAUUGGGCGUAAAGAGCUCGUAGGCGGUCUGUCGCGUCUGCUGUGAAAACCCGAGGCUCAACCUCGGGCCUGCAGUGGGUACGGGCAGACUAGAGUGCGGUAGGGGAGAUUGGAAUUCCUGGUGUAGCGGUGGAAUGCGCAGAUAUCAGGAGGAACACCGAUGGCGAAGGCAGAUCUCUGGGCCGUAACUGACGCUGAGGAGCGAAAGGGUGGGGAGCAAACAGGCUUAGAUACCCUGGUAGUCCACCCCGUAAACGUUGGGAACUAGUUGUGGGGUCCAUUCCACGGAUUCCGUGACGCAGCUAACGCAUUAAGUUCCCCGCCUGGGGAGUACGGCCGCAAGGCUAAAACUCAAAGGAAUUGACGGGGACCCGCACAAGCGGCGGAGCAUGCGGAUUAAUUCGAUGCAACGCGAAGAACCUUACCAAGGCUUGACAUAUAGAGGAAACGUCUGGAAACAGUCGCCCCGCAAGGUCUCUAUACAGGUGGUGCAUGGUUGUCGUCAGCUCGUGUCGUGAGAUGUUGGGUUAAGUCCCGCAACGAGCGCAACCCUCGUUCUAUGUUGCCAGCACGUAAUGGUGGGAACUCAUGGGAUACUGCCGGGGUCAACUCGGAGGAAGGUGGGGAUGACGUCAAAUCAUCAUGCCCCUUAUGUCUUGGGCUUCACGCAUGCUACAAUGGCCGGUACAAAGGGCUGCAAUACCGUGAGGUGGAGCGAAUCCCAAAAAGCCGGUCCCAGUUCGGAUUGAGGUCUGCAACUCGACCUCAUGAAGUCGGAGUCGCUA